Molecule: ribosomal RNA, 700 nt
Filed under: uncultured bacterium
Lineage: Bacteria
Description: bacterial SSU rRNA
Rfam family: Bacterial small subunit ribosomal RNA
Source: RNAcentral
CGAACGCGGUUGCCCCGCAAGGGGCAACUGAGUGGCGAACGGGUGAGUAACACGUGGGUGACCUACCUUCGAGUGGGGGAUAACGUCCCGAAAGGGACGCUAAUACCGCAUAACAUCCUGCCUUUGAACAGGCGGCGAUCAAAGCCGGGGACCGAAAGGCCCGGCGCUUGAUGAGGGGCCCGCGUCCGAUUAGCUAGUUGGUGAGGUAACGGCUCACCAAGGCGACGAUCGGUAACCGGCCUGAGAGGGCGGACGGUCACACUGGGACUGAGACACGGCCCAGACUCCUACGGGAGGCAGCAGUGGGGAAUUGUUCGCAAUGGGCGCAAGCCUGACGACGCAACGCCGCGUGGAGGAUGAAGGUCUUCGGAUUGUAAACUCCUGUUGCCCGGGACGAAUAGCUCCGACCUAAUACGUCGGAGUCUGACGGUACCGGGUGAGGAAGCCCCGGCUAACUCUGUGCCAGCAGCCGCGGUAAUACAGAGGGGGCGAGCGUUGUUCGGAAUUACUGGGCGUAAAGGGCGCGUAGGCGGCCUGCUAAGUCGAACGUGAAAUCCCCGGGCUCAACCCGGGAACUGCGUCCGAUACUGGCAGGCUUGAACUCGGGAGAGGGAUGCGGAAUUCCAGGUGUAGCGGUGAAAUGCGUAGAUAUCUGGAGGAACACCGGUGGCGAAGGCGGCAUCCUGGACCGAUAUUGACG